Pteropus alecto (black flying fox) is the source of this 5076-nucleotide long non-coding RNA. RefSeq lists it as uncharacterized. The transcript has 3 exons. The record is from RefSeq and is a predicted model, not a curated record. Lineage: Eukaryota; Metazoa; Chordata; Mammalia; Chiroptera; Pteropodidae.
GCAUUGCCUAGAAGCAGGGAGAGGAAGCAGCUGGAGUGAGAGGCAGGGGAGCGGGGAGGAGGGGCCCUCAUCUUGGACCAGGAGUACGGCCAGUGAGCAGGCCCGACUCUGGUCUCUUAGUCUGUAAAAUGGGUACAAGGGAAGCAGUGAGCAUGGAUUUGCUUGUUCCAGGACUCUGGUUAUAUUACAAGCCUUUCUAACCACAAAGAGGUGUCAGCCUGUUGCCUCACUGAUGUAAAAAAGAAGACAAAUUUGCAAGAAAAAAAAUCCAACCAGUCAUUGAGACUUACGUGGCUGAUUAUUUUAGGCAAGUCAAAGAAGAAUCUGUUUGGCUCCAUAUGUAAGCUGGGAACAAGCUGUGAGGGGAAGGGCCAUUUCAAACCAGGAGAUCAAGUGGCCACUGUGGGCUGAGGGGGCAGGGAUGGGGCACGGUGUGUGUGUGAGCAGAGGCUGCUAGUGUGGGGCAGGGGCUAUGGGUCUUCUUGGAUCUGGUAAAACUCAGCCUGCGUGCUCCCAACUCUCAAUGGCAAUUUGGGAAGUCUGGGCGGCUGUGGGGUCACCUCUCUGCUGACUUUCCUGUCCUCAUGCAGCAGCCGCAGCUCAGACUGGGCCGGUUUCCCUGCUUCCCCACCACAAAGGCCAGCCGGCAGCUGCUCUGGACAAUCUUGCACCCAGCCCUAACACCACUUCCUCGGCAAAGCCUUCUCUGGCCCGCAUGUGCCUUUUCUCUAGAGCGCUUGGCUCCUUGUCUGCCUUCUUCGCCACUCUGUUCUUGAUGUGUAGUUGGGCCCUAUAAUCCCCACGAGGCCAAGAACCGUCUACUUUUGCUUGGCACUGGUGUACGACCAGCACCUAACACAGCAGCCGACACAAUAUGUGCUGAAUAAGCAGUCAUUGGACAGCUCGCCCCUGUCCACCUUUCUGGCUGGGCUCUGGCAGCCUGAUGCCUCUCGGAAAACACAAGCAGAGAGUCCGUAACCCUGGAGAUACCUGCCUCUGGCAGUCAUUCACCAGAACUGAUGUCCCUCCCACAGCGGGGCACUAACUUUACAAAUGUGAGUGAAGAGCAGAGACGUCGUGCGGUAAGUAAAGUCUAGGAACCAUCGACAGGAAUAAUUUUUUAAAAAUUUCUAUCUACCCAUGUGAUGAAUGAAAGGCUUGGUAGCCACUGAAAAGACUAGGCGAUCCUACUACGAGUAUUAUCACUACUAUUCUACUAUUACUACUACUAACUCAUACUCGCUGAGUGUGUGUAACGCACCAGGUCCUAUUCUAAGAACUUGGUAAGUAUUGACUCCAUUUAUUCCUUACAGCAACCCCACAAAGUAGGGGACAUUAUCAUCCCCAUUUUACAGAUGAGGAAACUGAGGUUCAGAGAGGCUGCCAGUGAGCGGUAAAGUGGGGAUCUGGAUGCUGGUCGUCUAGACCUGUGGGUUAAAUUGUUAAGUGAAUAGAGCAAGUUGCAAAAAAGGAUGUACACUACAAUCCUACUAAAAGAUGCCAACACGACACGAUCCGCAGACAGACACGAACGCCUGUGUGUGGGGUGCAUGGAAGACAUUUUGGAAAGAUGAACAGUUGUGGGAGCGGAUGGGCUUGGAGAAGUGGGUGAGAGUUUUGCUUUUUACUUUAAAUACUUUUGUCCAAUUGAACAUGUUAGAGAGCAUAUGCUACUUUUUAAAAAUUUGCCACUGAUUUUAGAGAAUUAUUUCCCUCAACGAGAAAUCCUCCGACCACUAUAUAUGAUCUCCAUUAAUAAUUUAAAAUGGCUUCUCAUCUGACUUCUGGUUAUUGCAUCUCUAAUAACCAGUUGGCUAGACAAGCACAUCAAAAUGCAUUACUGUCUGCAUUACGAGUAAAAAUGUCUAGAGGUAGAGGUCUCAAAAGCCGUGUGCAAAGUAAGACAGAUAAUAAAAUCUAAGGUCCCAGUAAGGUCUCCAAAGCAUGUUUUAAUACAUGUUGAGAUAGUCACUCACCUAAAAUAAAAAAAGGAAUACUAUUUCUACCGAUCCGCCAAUAACAAGGCUAAUAAAUAAACAGUGUGUAUCAGUGCACAUUGUAGAAAAUUACAAAGCAAAAGAGGGCCGGCUUCUCAGACCAAGAGGUCCACAGAGCACUUGCGGGAUGGGCUCCCCAGAAGAGGGUGGUCUCCCCAGAGAGCUCAUUUUACCGGUGCCCAUGAGGGAGCCUGCCUGGCUUCUCUCUGUAAGCUCUUGCCCUGAGCCCCCAGGAGAGGACAGCUUCUGAGUUAAUCCACAGAGGGAAAUAAAUCAAGAAACACCACCAAUGGAGCCAGUUAGGAAUGUGGGCCGGGAGUGCAGUUGCCAUGACGACUGUGAACUGAAAAAAGUCUAGGGAAAAAAGUGUGAAUUGGGGAAGAAGAGUUUGACAACAUGUUUCAAACAGGAAGGAGAGGGAACCCUGGUACACAGUGAUGCAUCUUGAUUUCGUGAGCAGAGAAAGAUAGCUCUUGAGCAGAGAAGGGACCACUCGAGUUGCCACAGUUAAUGAGAAAUAGCUCUUACAAAAUCCUGAACCCUGUACUUGAUUCCGUUCUCACCAGGCAAUUCUACCAGGCUGGCAUUUGGGCCUUCAUUUCAAAGAGAGAGCGCCUGGAACAGUGAAGAUGCUCAGUAAAUAAAGGAUCUAUAUUUGUUCUUGAGUCAUGAAUAUUCUCCUUUAUAAAAUAAUAGAGUUGUGGGUUAUUAAUUAAUCUCCUGUGCAUUUAGUUAGUUCGAAUCAACCCUCAGGGCCUGACAGUCUAAGGGGAUUAAACAGUUAAGGAGGGGUUUUAUAAAUCUGCUGAGGGACUUUAAAUUCUGUGACUACACCCCACCUACUUAUAGCCAAGCAAAGGGGCCUUGACUGAAAUGGUUAAGAGCUUUGUCCUUCCCUUGAAAAAGUGUUUGCCUUACAGCUUUUCUUGUGAACUAUGAAAGUAGUAUUGUCACUGAGUAAAAUCUGGAAAAAAAAAAUUUUAAACGUUAUAUAAGAAAAUAAAAAUCUCCCAGAAACCCCAUUAUGAGCUUUCUUAAAAUACUGAAGAGUAAUUUGUUUGUGUUUACAUAUGUGAGCGUGUAUAUACAUCGAUAUUUAACAAAAUUUCAAUAGUAUUAUCUGUAUUGCUUUCCUCUCUUAAGAUAUCAGAAAUCUAAAAAACCAUUUCCUUCAAUAUUUUCAGUAACAUAAUUUUUCAAUGGCUACAUAAAGUGGCCAUGGACAUGCCAUCAAUCAUUUAGUCUUCGGUUCUUGUUAGUUAUUUUAAAUUGUUUACAAAUUUUCACUAUCACAGACAAUUUUUAAACAACCAACCUUAUACGUAAUACUUUUGUGAACUUAUCUCUGGUGAUCUCCUUAGGAUAAAAUCCUAGAAGUAGAACUACUCAGUUCGAGGGUAUAAAUAUUUUAAAAGGCUUUCGCUCCGCAGUGGCAAAGCAGUCUCAAGAAAAGCUGAACCUCCGGCACCCAUCGUGUGAAGGCUAUAUCCUUGCCAUCGCCAAUGCUGUUAUCAUUAGGAGCAGUUCUUUGCCAGCGUGAGAGAUGAAAAGCUGUACUCUGUUCUUUUAUUUUACAUUUCAUUGAUUACUGGUAAAGCCGAACACUUUGUUUUAAUGUUUGUCGGCAUUCAUAUUUUUUAUGUUGUCAGUUUUCCUUCAUGUCCUUUUUUCUUUUGGUGUAUAUCUAUCAUUUUCUUUUUGCUCUGAAAAAGUAUAUUAUAGGUUAUUUGUUGCAAAAAUCCCCAAUUUGUAGAUCGGUAUAUAUAUAUAUUGUGCGCGUGUUUAACAUAAAUUUUAUCCAUUUCUUUUCUAUACCAGUCAGUGAGGGAUUUUUCUUCUCUGCCAUUCUUUUCUGAGUUAACAAAGGAAUAGAAAAAGCAUCUGUGAAAGCACGUGGAAACAAAUUUCUCCACGGAAUACUUAAGUUGAUUACAUCUAGUACCUCUGGAGGAGAAUGAUGUCUUAAUACUCCUUCCUUACAUAACUUUGUGUUUUUUGGAACUCUUUUACUUAUUUAUUCAUUGUGACAAUCAUGUAAGGCAGCUCGACUAAGCAAGCAAAACAGCUAUUAGCCCAUUUUAAAGAUGGAGAAACAAUGACAGAGAUAUUAAAUGUCUAGCACUAGGUUAUGUGACAAUUCAGAGGGGAAGUUGGGACAAGGACCCCUGUCUUUUGACCCUCUGCCACAGUGUAAUUCCAUGAUAGCACUGGGCAACAUAUCAGGUCUUUUCAAUUUGUCCCAGAAAUAAAUGCAAACGAUGCAGUACUGUUAAAACCUCCUGACUUUUAAUAUGUAGCAGAAUUUCCCUGUCACUGGCCUAGAUGUUAUACGAGUUCCUGAACUGCAGCUAGCUUGGAAGUUAAUACUUUGUUAACUUUUCUUUGGUGUACUGGACGACUAAAAUUUUGGACUAUUCCUUGAGGGCUGGGAGAAUUAUAAAACCGGCAUUUCCUCUCCUGCAGAACAUCUAGGCUUUUGUUUGUUAAAUACUCAGCAUUUGACAAAUUGGGAAGUCUAUUGGUCCCAAGGAGAUGGUGUUGACCAGAACAGGGAAGGAAUUCACAGUCUUGUAAGUGGAAACACACGCCAAAUCCUGGGUGCGAGGGGGAAGAUUCCUGUAGAAUGACACCAACCGUAGGGCAGACAUUUGUGUGCUGCCGGCUCGGGGGAUUUCUCCCUAAAAGGAAAUCUUUAGCUGAUCUCCUCUGUUCAGCCCCUGUAGGCCAGAAAGGAAAACGUGUGCCCUCCACAGCAUCCGAAUUCUCUCUGGGAUGACUCAGAGAACCCAAACGCCACUGAACGUUUACUCAUGUCGUCAGUAGGAGGUGGUGGCAUGCAGGGGUCCAGCGAGGGUUGCUCAUCGGCGUGACAGCUCGGCAGAUCAGGCUCUGCAAUGUGCUCCAGAUACUUGUCAUGCUCUUUGAGAGAAGAGGCUGCCUGCUGCCCUCUGCCAAGGAUGUGAGUCCUUAGGCUCAAGCUUUUGUGGUAACAGGAGAGAGAACUAUAGGAAUGGAGGUGGAUUCAAAUCCUAAACCUUGUAAACAGGAAGCUUUGGUGAACAAAACAAACUUAUCUCCC